AUUCUACCCAUGUGGGGAAGGAUGAGAAGCUUCGACUAAGGUUCGAUUCGAGCGAAAGCGAGAAAGCGUUGCCGCAGGCAACGACCCGAAGGGCGAAGCGCGCAGCGCUGAGUAAUCCUUCCCCCACCACCA
RNAcentral lists this small RNA (132 nucleotides) under Salmonella enterica. RNAcentral describes it as "RtT sRNA". It matches the Rfam family "RtT RNA". Rfam says of the family: This family represents a bacterial cis-regulatory element known as RtT RNA. The exact function of RtT is unknown although it is thought that it may be involved in changing the cellular response in relation to amino acid starvation. The record is from RNAcentral. Lineage: Bacteria; Pseudomonadati; Pseudomonadota; Gammaproteobacteria; Enterobacterales; Enterobacteriaceae. RNAcentral also lists the same sequence under 3 other names.